UACAGAGGUCUCAAGCGUUGUUCGGAUUCAUUGGGCGUAAAGGGUGCGUAGGCGGCGCGGUAAGUCGGGUGUGAAAUCUCGGGGCUUAACUCCGAAACUGCAUUCGAUACUGCCGUGCUUGAGGACUGGAGAGGAGACUGGAAUUUACGGUGUAGCGGUGAAAUGCGUAGAUAUCAGGAGGAAUACCGACGGCGAAGGCAGGUCUCUGGGCUGACACUGACGCUCAUGCACGAAAGCGUGGGGAGCAAACAGG
RNAcentral lists this ribosomal RNA (253 nucleotides) under uncultured bacterium. Its description in RNAcentral is "partial 16S ribosomal RNA". It matches the Rfam family "Bacterial small subunit ribosomal RNA", at positions 524 to 776 of the family's 1533-position model. The record is from RNAcentral.